RNAcentral lists this small nuclear RNA (107 nucleotides) under Sciurus vulgaris (Eurasian red squirrel). The record is from RNAcentral. Lineage: Eukaryota; Metazoa; Chordata; Mammalia; Rodentia; Sciuridae.
GUGCUCGCUUUGGCAGCACAUAUGCUAAAAUUGGAAUGAUACAGAGAAGAUUAGCAUGCCCCCUGCGCAAGGAUGACACGCAAAUUCCUGAAGCGUUGCAUAUUUUU